CUGCGACUUGCCUGUCAAAUCAAGGGAAAUCUGCUUUGACAACAGUGGGGAGCCCAGCUGGAAAAAAAUAAACACAUCUUAAGUAAGGAAACGGUGACAUGUGAAAGUAAACGCCACUGCUUUUCGCUGAAGUGAAAGGCUUAAUGGAAAAGUAUCCAAGGACACGCGUAUACAACCACAAGGUAGAAAACACGGGCAGGAUGUAACUGAAAUUAAAGGAUCGUAUCUUAUCGAUGGGUUCACAUCUGCGAGGCCACAAAAUUAAAUGCCUCUAAAUAAUGUCUGUGGCAUUUUGGGGACCAAUGUCCUGCGGCUAAUAAAAAUACAUCCCCAAAAAGGGUUCACUUAUCGCUGGCCGAGACUUUUGAAAAAAAAACAAGCACUUACCCGUAAGAGAUGGCCAUCAAAAGUGACAGCCGGCGCCCGGAGAGUGGCUAAAAGCAAGCAUUCCUAUCUAGGAGACAUAAUACAAAUGGUUCCAAAUGGCCAGAACUGUAUCUCUCCUACGCCCCCACCGGUUGUUGCCCGGCAACAAAAUCACAUCAAAAUUUCUUCCUUGGAGGGAGAAAUUCUAAAAAUAAAAAAAUAUUGUAAAGACUGCAAUUUGAAUUGAACUUCGAUUUGGAGCACACAGACAAAUGUUUGGAUUUAAAAAAGUGUAAUCCGCUUUUUAUGGGACUCUAUUAUCUAAGAGAUGGCUCUUUGAAUGCAAAGGGAGAAGAACAUCCUUAAGCAAAUCACAAUUUCUUGCUCUUAAAAAUGGAUUUUAAAACCUUGUGCACAGUGUAUAAUACAUUUCCUUGUUCUCACUUUUAAAAUAUACAUUUUGAGUAAUUAAGUCUAA
Molecule: long non-coding RNA, 844 nt
Organism: Drosophila ananassae
Lineage: Eukaryota; Metazoa; Arthropoda; Insecta; Diptera; Drosophilidae
Exons: 2
Source: RefSeq, a predicted model, not a curated record